GCGGGAAGAAGCUUGCUUCUUUGCCGGCGAGCGGCGGACGGGUGAGUAACGUCUGGGGAUCUGCCCGAUGGAGGGGGAUAACUACUGGAAACGGUAGCUAAUACCGCAUAACGUCGCAAGACCAAAGUGGGGGACCUUCGGGCCUCACACCAUCGGAUGAACCCAGAUGGGAUUAGCUAGUAGGCGGGGUAAUGGCCCACCUAGGCGACGAUCCCUAGCUGGUCUGAGAGGAUGACCAGCCACACUGGAACUGAGACACGGUCCAGACUCCUACGGGAGGCAGCAGUGGGGAAUAUUGCACAAUGGGGGAAACCCUGAUGCAGCCAUGCCGCGUGUGUGAAGAAGGCCUUCGGGUUGUAAAGCACUUUCAGCGGGGAGGAAGGGGAUAAGGUUAAUAGCCUUAUUCAUUGACGUUACCCGCAGAAGAAGCACCGGCUAACUCCGUGCCAGCAGCCGCGGUAAUACGGAGGGUGCAAGCGUUAAUCGGAAUGACUGGGCGUAAAGCGCACGCAGGCGGUCUGUUAAGUUGGAUGUGAAAUCCCCGGGCUUAACCUGGGAACUGCAUUCAAGACUGGCAGGCUAGAGUCUCGUAGAGGGGGGUAGAAUUCCAGGUGUAGCGGUGAAAUGCGUAGAGAUCUGGAGGAAUACCGGUGGCGAAGGCGGCCCCCUGGACGAAGACUGACGCUCAGGUGCGAAAGCGUGGGGAGCAAACAGGAUUAGAUACCCUGGUAGUCCACGCCGUAAACGAUGUCGACUUGGAGGCUGUGGUCUUGAACCGUGGCUUCCGGAGCUAACGCGUUAAGUCGACCGCCUGGGGAGUACGGCCGCAAGGUUAAAACUCAAAUGAAUUGACGGGGGCCCGCACAAGCGGUGGAGCAUGUGGUUUAAUUCGAUGCAACGCGAAGAACCUUACCUACUCUUGACAUCCACAGAAUUUUGCAGAGAUGCGUUAGUGCCUUCGGGAACUGUGAGACAGGUGCUGCAUGGCAGUCGUCAGCUCGUGUUGUGAAAUGUUGGGUUAAGUCCCGCAACGAGCGCAACCCUUAUCCUUUGUUGCCAGCGAUUUGGUCGGGAACUCAAAGGAGACUGCCGGUGAUAAACCGGAGGAAGGUGGGGAUGACGUCAAGUCAUCAUGGCCCUUACGAGUAGGGCUACACACGUGCUACAAUGGCGCAUACAAAGAGAAGCGACCUCGCGAGAGCAAGCGGACCUCAUAAAGUGCGUCGUAGUCCGGAUUGGAGUCUGCAACUCGACUCCAUGAAGUCGGAAUCGCUAGUAAUCGUAGAUCAGAAUGCUACGGUGAAUACGUUCCCGGGCCUUGUACACACCGCCCGUCACACCAUGGGAGUGGGUUGCAAAAGAAGUAGGUAGCUUAACCUUCGGGGGGGCGCUUA
This 1394-nucleotide ribosomal RNA is filed under the name Brenneria izadpanahii. RNAcentral describes it as "16S ribosomal RNA". It matches the Rfam family "Bacterial small subunit ribosomal RNA". The record is from RNAcentral. Lineage: Bacteria; Pseudomonadati; Pseudomonadota; Gammaproteobacteria; Enterobacterales; Pectobacteriaceae.